This 1517-nucleotide long non-coding RNA is filed under the name Anas platyrhynchos (mallard). Its description in RNAcentral is "lncRNA (ENSAPLG00020012851.1)". Lineage: Eukaryota; Metazoa; Chordata; Aves; Anseriformes; Anatidae. The record is from RNAcentral.
GAAUCAUCUGCCCCUGUGUAAAAUAAUUUCCAUGCAGUUUUGAGGAAUUUGGGAUCCGUGUAGAAAUCCCAUCAUCGCUAUGAGAUUGCGCCAGACAGAAGGAAACUCAAAGACCACACAGAGCUGUGCAGAGGCUGCAUGCAGCCCCAAGCAUUUUUCCAGGUUCUUUGUGAUCAGCACUGUCCCAGUCAUCUGCAACCAGCUUACGCUGCUACUCCCCAAGUCCUUUUGCCUCUUUCCUCAGUGCUUUUGUUCCUCUGGCUUUGGUUUAGAUAAAUCAGCCGUUAAACUGGCAAGCAAAAAGCACAAGUUAAAAAACCUACAAAGUCAGAUCAUUGGUGGAUAUGCAGUGUGGUUUCAUUUUCACUUCUGGUCUGCUGCUAAUCAUUUGUAGAAACGGCUACAAGAAGUGUGUAAGAAGAAAAACUGGGUGAGAUGGAAGCAUAGAAGACUUCCUUAGUCCUCCCAAGUUGGGGCAGUAUUGGCUGCUGAACAAAAUGCCAGCCAGAAAGGAAUUUAUGAAAUAUUGGAAAAAUAAUUCUAAUGUGUUGUCUCUACCGCUUAGUGCCAUGAUUCUGCUCAUAGUUGAAGAAAUUAUGGAGACUGAAUUUAAAUGCCCUCGAUGGACAACAUUAAAGAUUUUAUAUGUUCUUACCUAUUUUUUGUGUCCAGCUUUAAUUACACUUGGCCUGAGCUUGUCGUCCCAGCCCACCUGCAUUCUCUGGUUUCGCAGCUUUGGGAAAUGUUCGUACCGACAGAAGGGUGAGAUGCUUUGCAAGGUAUUUCUUCCUCCUCUGAUCUGGAUUGUGAUCCUGCUGUGGGAUGGCAGAUACAUUGAAUGUAUAGUUUCAAGAAGUGAAGUGGACAGCAAUCAAAAUGCAAACCAAACCAGAGCAGCAGAAUCAAUCACUGAAUUCUAUUCAUAUUCUCAGAUUUCAGGACUCCUCAUUCUUACAUUUGUCGUCAUUGUUUAUAGCCUGUUCCACACAUAUCCCUUCUGGUGCUGCUGUAAAAGUGAAGAAGAAUGUAGGAAAGAGGAGCUGAAGAACAUUUUAGAAGAAAAAAUGUGGAAACAUGUUCAAGAAUUGCAGAAUGAAAGUACAGAGCAGACAAUGGAAGAGGAAGUGAAACCUCUUCUGCAGAAUGUUCCUAAAAACUUCUGGAGAGAUGUAGAUUUUAAAACAGCAAUAUUAAAAAUAAAGGAGACUUUAAGGAAUGUGUUUAGAUAUACAAAUAUUGGAACACAAGAACCAACUAAACCAUGUGUUUGCAUUUAAAAUGUGCCUCCAUCAUCGGGCCCUGAUGUGCACCUGUCCUGUGUUUGGCUGGGACAGAGGUAAUUUUCUUCCUAGCAUCUGGGAUGUUUACGUGUUUUGGGUUUAAGGUGAGAAUAAUGCUGAGAACACACCGAUGUUGUAGCUGUUGCAGAGCAGUGCUUACACUGAGCCAAGGACUUUUCAGCUUCUCACACUGCCCUGCCAGCGGGCAGGCUGGGGUUGCACAAGGAGCUUUGUGCA